GACGAACGCUGGCGGCGUGCUUAACACAUGCAAGUCGAACGGAAAGGCCCUGCUUUUGUGGGGUGCUCGAGUGGCGAACGGGUGAGUAACACGUGAGUAACCUGCCCUUGACUUUGGGAUAACUUCAGGAAACUGGGGCUAAUACCGGAUAGGAGCUCCUGCUGCAUGGUGGGGGUUGGAAAGUUUCGGCGGGUGGGGAUGGACUCGCGACUUAUCAGCUUGUUGGUGGGGUAGUGGCUUACCAAGGCUUUGACGGGUAGCCGGCCUGAGAGGGUGACCGGCCACAUUGGGACUGAGAUACGGCCCAGACUCCUACGGGAGGCAGCAGUGGGGAAUAUUGCACAAUGGGCGGAAGCCUGAUGCAGCAACGCCGCGUGCGGGAUGACGGCCUUCGGGUUGUAAACCGCUUUCGCCUGUGACGAAGCGUGAGUGACGGUAAUGGGUAAAGAAGCACCGGCUAACUACGUG
This 468-nucleotide ribosomal RNA is filed under the name uncultured bacterium. RNAcentral describes it as "partial 16S ribosomal RNA". It matches the Rfam family "Bacterial small subunit ribosomal RNA", at positions 28 to 507 of the family's 1533-position model. The record is from RNAcentral.